RNAcentral lists this ribosomal RNA (544 nucleotides) under uncultured Ascomycota. RNAcentral's name for it is "SSU rRNA". It matches the Rfam family "Eukaryotic small subunit ribosomal RNA", at positions 548 to 1098 of the family's 1831-position model. The record is from RNAcentral. Lineage: Eukaryota; Fungi; Ascomycota.
UUAGGGCAAGUCUGGUGCCAGCAGCCGCGGUAAUUCCAGCUCCAAUAGCGUAUAUUAAAGUUGUUGCAGUUAAAAAGCUCGUAGUUGAACCUUGGGCCUGGCUGGCCGGUCCGCCUCACCGCGUGUACUGGUCCGGCCGGGCCUUUCCUUCUGGGGAACCUCAUGCCCUUCACUGGGCGUGUUGGGGAACCAGGACUUUUACUUUGAAAAAAUUAGAGUGUUCAAAGCAGGCCUUUGCUCGAAUACAUUAGCAUGGAAUAAUAGAAUAGGACGUGUGGUUCUAUUUUGUUGGUUUCUAGGACCGCCGUAAUGAUUAAUAGGGAUAGUCGGGGGCAUCAGUAUUCAAUCGUCAGAGGUGAAAUUCUUGGAUUGAUUGAAGACUAACUACUGCGAAAGCAUUUGCCAAGGAUGUUUUCAUUAAUCAGUGAACGAAAGUUAGGGGAUCGAAGACGAUCAGAUACCGUCGUAGUCUUAACCAUAAACUAUGCCGACUAGGGAUCGGACGGUGUUAGCAUUUUGACCCGUUCGGCGCCUUACGGGAAAC